GAUUUCCCCUCCCCGCCGCCCGCGCUCUCUCUCCUCCUGCGCCCAGGCCGGUCUCCGGCUCCGGAGUCGGACGGCGACGGUGCAGAUGAGGGCGCACAGGGGACGGUCCUGGAGCCCGGGAAGGGUGCGAGAUGGAGACGGCGGUUCAGAAAAGUUGUCAGGUCUCCAGCCCGGGCAGUGGCGGGAGCUGGAGCCGCGGUGGAGACGACUCGAGGGGACGCAGCCCGCCUGGCACAAAGGGCCACGGGCGCGAGGGACUCGAUGAGCUGGGAGAUCGCGGCCCCGGCAGGUGCGGCGCGCUGGGGCGGGUGCUUGGCGCCUUCCCCGGCACAGAGAGUCAAGGGAUUGGAUUGUGGAUUGCAUUGGUGGUUUUCCUCAGUUUCCUCAUCUUCUCCACAAGUUUCUACAUAUCGAAUGCAGAGCAGCCCUUCUUCAAAGGACCUCCUACGGAAGCUGCUAAGGAACUCAGUCUGUAGCUCUGCGUGGAGCCAUGUGUAAACACUGAACUGAGACCUGCCACCUCCUACUACCUAAGGGCCCAUUUUCAUCUGAUAUCAUCCCCCAGAAACAAACUCAUGAUGACUUCCAUGUUUUUUUUAGAUUAGAUACAUGGAGAAUUUUCCUUUCCCUUAGAAUUAAAAUCCUGCAUUCUAAUUUUCAGUAAGCUUUUUUAUUUCUGAAUAAUUUUAAAUUUAAAGAGAAGUUGCAAAGAUAGUAUAGAAUGUUCCCUUAUACCUGUUUUUAUUUAGAGUGAUGUUCCCAGGAGAAAUGAUAAUGCAGCAAUGGACAAGAACAGGAACAAGAGACAGUCUUACCAUCUUCUUACAAUUUAUAGAUGGGACAGUGGAAAGAGAAG
RNAcentral lists this long non-coding RNA (856 nucleotides) under Homo sapiens (human). Its description in RNAcentral is "non-protein coding LINC00943:3". The record is from RNAcentral. Lineage: Eukaryota; Metazoa; Chordata; Mammalia; Primates; Hominidae.